GACGAACGCUGGCGGCGUGCUUAAUACAUGCAAGUCGAGCGAGGUUACUGUUUUGGAUCCCUUCGGGGUGAAGAAGCUUUAACCUAGCGGCGGACGGGUGAGUAACGCGUGGGUAACCUACCCCAAAGUCCGGGAUAACAGCGGGAAACCGCUGCUAAUACCGGAUGCCUUUACCUUGGGGCAUCUUGAGGUAAAGAAAGGUAACGCUUUGGGAUGGGCCCGCGUCCCAUUAGCUAGUUGGUGAGGUAACGGCUCACCAAGGCGACGAUGGGUAGCCGGCCUGAGAGGGUGGACGGCCACACUGGGACUGAGACACAGCCCAGACUCCUACGGGAGGCAGCAGUAGGGAAUAUUGCGCAAUGGACGGAAGUCUGACGCAGCGACGCCGCGUGAGCGAUGAAGGUCUUCGGAUCGUAAAGCUCUGUCCUUGGGGAAGAAGGCGAAAGCUUGACGGUACCCAAGAAGAAAGCCCCGGCUAACUACGUGCCAGCAGCCGCGGUAAUACGUAGGGGGCGAGCGUUGUCCGGAAUUACUGGGCGUAAAGGGUGCGUAGGCGGCCCUUUAAGUCGGAUGUGAAAGCCCGCGGCUUAACCGCGGAAUGGCAUUCGAAACUGGAGGGCUUGAGUGUCGGAGAGGGUAGUGGAAUUCCCAGUGUAGCGGUGAAAUGCGUAGAUAUUGGGAGGAACACCAGUGGCGAAGGCGACUACCUGGACGAUAACUGACGCUGAGGCACGAAAGCUAGGGGAGCAAACAGG
RNAcentral lists this ribosomal RNA (755 nucleotides) under uncultured bacterium. RNAcentral's name for it is "bacterial SSU rRNA". It matches the Rfam family "Bacterial small subunit ribosomal RNA", at positions 28 to 776 of the family's 1533-position model. The record is from RNAcentral.